GUCCUCUUGAUUAUGAUUUGAGGUUUGACCUGCUCUAUGAGUAUUUAAAUGGCCGCAGUAUUUUGACUGUGCUAAGGUAGCAUAAUAAUUAGUUUCUUAAUUGGAAGCUUGGAUGAAUGGUUUGAUGAGAAAAUAACUGUCAUUUAAUAAUAAAUUGAAUUUUAUCUUUAAGUUAAAAAGCUUAAAUGAAUUUGUGGGACGAGAAGACCCUUUAGAAUUUUAUAUUUAUUAUUAUUACUUAAAUUUAGGAUUAAUUUAUUAAUGUGUAAUAAAUAUUUAAUUGGGGUGAUUGAAAAAUUUGAAUAACUUUUUUUAUUAAAUAACAAUUUUUUUUUGAACUGAUGAUCCGUUUUAUCGAUUAUAAGAAAUAAUUACCUAAGGGAUAACAGCGUAAUAUUUUUAAAGAGUUCUAAUCGAAAAAAAUGAUUGCGACCUCGAUGUUGGAUUAGAAUAUCUAAUAGGUGCAGAAGCUUAUUUAGUGGGUCUGUUCGACCUUUAAAAUUCUACA
Molecule: ribosomal RNA, 508 nt
Filed under: Aspidomorpha miliaris
Lineage: Eukaryota; Metazoa; Arthropoda; Insecta; Coleoptera; Chrysomelidae
Description: partial 16S ribosomal RNA
Rfam family: Bacterial large subunit ribosomal RNA
Source: RNAcentral